AACGGCUUGGCCGCGCCGCGUACCAGUUGCGAGGGUCUCCGUUGGUGAACCAGCGGAGGGAUCAUUACAGAGUUAUCCAACUCCCAAACCCAUGUGAACUUAUCUCUUUGUUGCCUCGGCGCAAGCUACCCGGGACCCAGCGCCCCGGGCGGCCCGCCGGCGGACAAACCAAACUCUUGUUAUUCAAUGGAUUAUCUGAGCGUCUUAUUUAAUAAGUCAAAACUUUCAACAACGGAUCUCUUGGUUCUGGCAUCGAUGAAGAACGCAGCGAAAUGCGAUAAGUAAUGUGAAUUGCAGAAUUCAGUGAAUCAUCGAAUCUUUGAACGCACAUUGCGCCCAUCAGUAUUCUGGUGGGCAUGCCUGUUCGAGCGUCAUUUCAACCCCUAAGCACAGCUUACUGUUGGGACUCUACGGCCUCCGUAGUUCCCCAAAGCCAUUGGCGGAGUGGCAGUAGUGUUUUACUCAGAAGUUACAUAUAGAAACAGAGUUUAGGGGUCCUCUGGCGGGCCGUCCCGUUUUACCGGGAGCGGGCUGAUCCGCCGAGGCAACAAUUGGUAUGUUCACAGGGGUUUGGGAGUUGUAAACUCGGUAAUGAUCCCUCCGCAGGUUCACCC
This 614-nucleotide ribosomal RNA is filed under the name Nigrospora oryzae. Its description in RNAcentral is "partial 18S ribosomal RNA". The stretch from base 221 to 374 matches the Rfam family "5.8S ribosomal RNA". Lineage: Eukaryota; Fungi; Ascomycota; Sordariomycetes; Amphisphaeriales; Apiosporaceae. The record is from RNAcentral.